Molecule: ribosomal RNA, 407 nt
Filed under: uncultured bacterium
Lineage: Bacteria
Description: partial 16S ribosomal RNA
Rfam family: Bacterial small subunit ribosomal RNA
Source: RNAcentral
UGGGGAAUAUUGCACAAUGGGCGGAAGCCUGAUGCAGCAACGCCGCGCGCGGGAUGACGGCCUUCGGGUUGUAAACCGCUUUCGCCUGUGACGAAGCGUGAGUGACGGUAAUGGGUAAAGAAGCACCGGCUAACUACGUGCCAGCAGCCGCGGUGAUACGUAGGGUGCGAGCGUUGUCCGGAUUUAUUGGGCGUAAAGGGCUCGUAGGUGGUUGAUCGCGUCGGAAGUGUAAUCUUGGGGCUUAACCCUGAGCGUGCUUUCGAUACGGGUUGACUUGAGGAAGGUAGGGGAGAAUGGAAUUCCUGGUGGAGCGGUGGAAUGCGCAGAUAUCAGGAGGAACACCAGUGGCGAAGGCGGUUCUCUGGGCCUUUCCUGACGCUGAGGAGCGAAAGCGUGGGGAGCGAACA